CCUACGGGAGGAGCAGUGGGGAAUAUUGGACAAUGGGCGAAAGCCUGAUCCAGCCAUGCCGCGUGUGUGAAGAAGGCCUUCGGGUUGUAAAGCACUUUCAGUGGGGAAGAAAGCCUUGGGGCUAAUACCCUCGAGGAAGGACAUCACCCACAGAAGAAGCACCGGCUAACUCCGUGCCAGCAGCCGCGGUAAUACGGAGGGUGCGAGCGUUAAUCGGAAUUACUGGGCGUAAAGCGCGCGUAGGCGGUCUGAUAAGCCGGUUGUGAAAGCCCCGGGCUCAACCUGGGAACGGCAUCCGGAACUGUCAGGCUAGAGUGCAGGAGAGGAAGGUAGAAUUCCCGGUGUAGCGGUGAAAUGCGUAGAGAUCGGGAGGAAUACCAGUGGCGAAGGCGGCCUUCUGGACUGACACUGACGCUGAGGUGCGAAAGCGUGGGUAGCAAACAGGAUUAGAUACCCCGGUAGUC
Molecule: ribosomal RNA, 464 nt
Filed under: Vreelandella stevensii
Lineage: Bacteria; Pseudomonadati; Pseudomonadota; Gammaproteobacteria; Oceanospirillales; Halomonadaceae
Description: partial 16S ribosomal RNA
Rfam family: Bacterial small subunit ribosomal RNA
Source: RNAcentral